CAAGCUUUUUUGUUUGAUGAAUUGUUCACCAGUGUAAAGAGACUGGUUUUGUCAAAUAAAAACUGAAUCAUCAUCUGUUCUUAUCAGUUUAAUAUCUGAUACGUUCCCUAUGUGGAAACCAUAUUUUAAAUAGAUUUUUGGAACAUUGACCUGGUAUUGCAGUACCUCCAGGAACAGUGCACCCCCC
Salmo trutta (river trout) is the source of this 187-nucleotide small nuclear RNA. Its record names the gene U2. It matches the Rfam family "U2 spliceosomal RNA". From Rfam's summary of the family: U2 is a small nuclear RNA (snRNA) component of the spliceosome (involved in pre-mRNA splicing). Complementary binding between U2 snRNA (in an area lying towards the 5' end but 3' to hairpin I) and the branchpoint sequence (BPS) of the intron results the bulging out of an unpaired adenosine, on the BPS, which initiates a nucleophilic attack at the intronic 5' splice site, thus starting the first of two transesterification reactions that mediate splicing. Lineage: Eukaryota; Metazoa; Chordata; Actinopteri; Salmoniformes; Salmonidae. The record is from Ensembl.